GGGGGGGGGGGGGGGGGGGGGGGGGGGGGGGGGGGGGGGGGGGGGGGGCGGGGUUUGGUGGGGUGGUGGGGUGGCGCGCGGGUGGGUGGCGCGGGGGGCGCCUGCCCGUGGCUUUGGGGUAGCUUCGGGACACUGGGGCUAAUACCGUCUGGGCGCUCCGGCUGCCUGGUUGUGGUUGGAGCGUUUCGGCGGGUGGGGAUGGAUUCGCGGCGUAUCAGCCUGUUGGUGGGGUCGUGGCUUACCAAGGCUUGGACGGGUAGCCGGCCUGAGAGGGUGACCGGCCACAUUGGGACUGAGAUGCGGCCCAGACUCCUACGGGAGGCAGCAGUGGGGAAUAUUGCACAAUGGGCGGAAGCCUGAUGCAGCAACGCCGCGUGCGGGAUGACGGCCUUCGGGUUGUAAACCGCUUUCGCCUGUGACGAAGCGUGAGUGACGGUAAUGGGUAAAGAAGCACCGGCUAACUACGUG
Molecule: ribosomal RNA, 468 nt
Filed under: uncultured bacterium
Lineage: Bacteria
Description: partial 16S ribosomal RNA
Rfam family: Bacterial small subunit ribosomal RNA (bases 55-468)
Source: RNAcentral